This 415-nucleotide ribosomal RNA is filed under the name uncultured prokaryote. RNAcentral's name for it is "bacterial SSU rRNA". It matches the Rfam family "Bacterial small subunit ribosomal RNA", at positions 505 to 918 of the family's 1533-position model. The record is from RNAcentral.
GUGUCAGCCGCCGCGGUAAUACGGAGGAGGCAAGCGUUAUCCGGAAUUAUUGGGCGUAAAGCGUCCGCAGGUGGUUUAGAAAGUCUGCUGUUAAAGCGUGUAGCUCAACUACAUACAGGCAGUGGAAACUAUUAGACUAGAGUAUGUUAGGGGUAGAGGGAAUUCCCAGUGUAGCGGUGAAAUGCGUAGAGAUUGGGAAGAACACCGGUGGCGAAAGCGCUCUGCUAGGCCGAAACUGACACUGAGGGACGAAAGCUAGGGGAGCGAAAGUGAUUAGAUACCCCUGUAGUCCUAGCUGUAAACGAUGGAGACUAGGUGUGGCCUGUAUCGACCCGGGCCGUGCCGGAGCUAACGCGUUAAGUCUCCCGCCUGGGGAGUACGCACGCAAGUGUGAAACUCAAAUGAAUUGGCGGGG